Molecule: ribozyme, 115 nt
Filed under: Aedes aegypti (yellow fever mosquito)
Lineage: Eukaryota; Metazoa; Arthropoda; Insecta; Diptera; Culicidae
Description: drz-agam-1 ribozyme
Rfam family: drz-agam-1 ribozyme
Source: Rfam by way of RNAcentral
UGCCCAGAAACUUCAAUUCCUACCUUCUCGCGGUAUUGGCCGGGGUAUGACUAACCUUAGUGAAGCUCAGGUAACCAACCCCGGCGAGAACUUUACUGUAUGCUGACGGGGGGGG